AACAAGGCGUACCUGCGGACCUGCGGAAGGAUCAUUACAGAGUUCGUGCCCUCGCGGGUAGAUCUCCCACCCUUGUGUAUUCCUUACAUUUUGUUGCUUUGGCAGGCCGUUGGUUCGCCAACCACCGGCUCUACGGGCUGGUGCGUGCCUGCCAGAGGACCCCCCAAACUCGGUUUGUUAGUGUCGUCUGAGUAACCAUAACAAUCGUUAAAACUUUCAGCAAUGGAUCUCAGAUCGGAA
RNAcentral lists this unclassified non-coding RNA (240 nucleotides) under soil metagenome. RNAcentral describes it as "partial contains 5.8S ribosomal RNA, internal transcribed spacer 2, and large subunit ribosomal RNA". The record is from RNAcentral.